Molecule: ribosomal RNA, 253 nt
Filed under: uncultured bacterium
Lineage: Bacteria
Description: partial 16S ribosomal RNA
Rfam family: Bacterial small subunit ribosomal RNA
Source: RNAcentral
UACGUAGGGUGCGAGCGUUAAUCGGAAUUACUGGGCGUAAAGCGUGCGCAGGCGGUUUUGUAAGCCAGAUGUGAAAUCCCCGGGCUUAACCUGGGAAUGGCAUUUGGGACUGCAAGGCUUGAGUGCGGCAGAGGAGACUGGAAUUCCUGGUGUAGCGGUGGAAUGCGCAGAUAUCAGGAGGAACACCGGUGGCGAAGGCGGGUCUCUGGGCCGUAACUGACGCUGAGGAGCGAAAGCGUGGGGAGCGAACAGG